CUUUCCCUCUUUCUUUCGGCCUAACACAUGCAAGUCGAACGGCAGCACAGUAAGAGCUUGCUCUUACGGGUGGCGAGUGGCGGACGGGUGAGGAAUACAUCGGAAUCUACUUUUUCGUGGGGGAUAACGUAGGGAAACUUACUCUAAUACCGCAUACGACCUACGGGUGAAAGCAGGGGAUCUUCGGACCUUGCGCGAUUGAAUGAGCCGAUGUCGGAUUAGCUAGUUGGCGGGGUAAAGGCCCACCAAGGCGACGAUCCGUAGCUGGUCUGAGAGGAUGAUCAGCCACACUGGAACUGAGACACGGUCCAGACUCCUACGGGAGGCAGCAGUGGGGAAUAUUGGACAAUGGGCGCAAGCCUGAUCCAGCCAUACCGCGUGGGUGAAGAAGGCCUUCGGGUUGUAAAGCCCUUUUGUUGGGAAAGAAAAGCAGCAGGUUAAUACCCCGCUGUUCUGACGGUACCCAAAGAAUAAGCACCGGCUAACUUCGUG
RNAcentral lists this ribosomal RNA (492 nucleotides) under uncultured bacterium. RNAcentral describes it as "partial 16S ribosomal RNA". It matches the Rfam family "Bacterial small subunit ribosomal RNA", at positions 36 to 507 of the family's 1533-position model. The record is from RNAcentral.